This 253-nucleotide ribosomal RNA is filed under the name uncultured bacterium. RNAcentral describes it as "partial 16S ribosomal RNA". It matches the Rfam family "Bacterial small subunit ribosomal RNA", at positions 524 to 776 of the family's 1533-position model. The record is from RNAcentral.
UACAGAGGGUGCGAGCGUUAAUCGGAAUUACUGGGCGUAAAGCGCGCGUAGGCGGCUUUUCAAGUCGAUUGUGAAAUCCCCGGGCUUAACCUGGGAACUGCAGUCGAGACUGUCUAGCUAGAGUAUGGGAGAGGGAAGUGGAAUUUCAGGUGUAGCGGUGAAAUGCGUAGAUAUCUGAAGGAACAUCAGUGGCGAAAGCGACUUCCUGGACCAAUACUGACGCUCAUGUGCGAAAGCGUGGGGAGCGAACAGG